AUUGAACGCUGGCGGCAUGCCUUACACAUGCAAGUCGAACGGUAACGGGCCUUCGGGUGCCGACGAGUGGCGAACGGGUGAGUAAUGUAUCGGGACGUACCAUUGAGUGGGGGAUAACGUAGCGAAAGUUACGCUAAUACCGCAUAUUCUCUCCGGAGGAAAGCAGGGGACCGCAAGGCCUUGCGCUCUUUGAGCGGCCGAUAUCAGAUUAGCUAGUUGGGGGGGUAAAAGCUCACCAAGGCGACGAUCUGUAGCGGGUCUGAGAGGAUGAUCCGCCACACUGGAACUGAGACACGGGCCAGACUCCUACGGGAGGCAGCAGUGGGGAAUUUUGGACAAUGGGGGCAACCCUGAUCCAGCCAUGCCGCGUGAGUGAAGAAGGCCUUCGGGUUGUAAAGCUCUUUCAGCCGGGAAGAAAUCGCAUGGGCCAAUACCCCGUGCGGAUGACGGUACCGGAAUAAGAAGCACCGGCUAACUACGUGCCAGCAGCCGCCGUAA
This 498-nucleotide ribosomal RNA is filed under the name uncultured bacterium. RNAcentral's name for it is "partial 16S ribosomal RNA". It matches the Rfam family "Bacterial small subunit ribosomal RNA", at positions 30 to 523 of the family's 1533-position model. The record is from RNAcentral.